AUCCAGAUGACGAGUCCUAAAUAGGACGAAACGCGCAUCCUAGCUGGAU
This is a non-coding RNA of Trichobilharzia regenti, 49 nucleotides long. The record is from Rfam. Lineage: Eukaryota; Metazoa; Platyhelminthes; Trematoda; Strigeidida; Schistosomatidae.